RNAcentral lists this ribosomal RNA (494 nucleotides) under uncultured bacterium. RNAcentral's name for it is "partial 16S ribosomal RNA". It matches the Rfam family "Bacterial small subunit ribosomal RNA", at positions 28 to 507 of the family's 1533-position model. The record is from RNAcentral.
GACGAACGCUGGCGGCGUGCCUAACACAUGCAAGUCGAACGGUGAAGCGCCUUCCUUUUUGGUGGGUGUGGAUGAGUGGCGAACGGGUGAGUAACACGUGAGUAACCUGCCCCCUUCUUCUGGAUAACCGCAUGAAAGUGUGGCUAAUACGGGAUAUUCUGGGUCUGUCGCAUGAUGGGUCUGGGAAAGAUAUUGUUUCGGUGGGGGAUGGGCUCGCGGCCUAUCAGCUUGUUGGGGGGGUGAUGGCCUACCAAGGCGGUGACGGGUAGCCGGCCUGAGAGGGUGGACGGUCACACUGGGACUGAGACACGGCCCAGACUCCUACGGGAGGCAGCAGUGGGGAAUAGUGCACAAUGGGCGCAAGCCUGAUGCAGCGACGCCGCGUGAGGGAUGGAGGCCUUCGGGUUGUGAACCUCUUUCGCCAGUGAAGCAGGCCUGCCUCGUUUGUGGGUGGGUUGACGGUAGCUGGAUAAGAAGCGCCGGCUAACUACGUG